Long non-coding RNA from Chroicocephalus ridibundus (black-headed gull), 690 nucleotides. RefSeq lists it as uncharacterized. NCBI's taxonomy places the organism in Eukaryota, Metazoa, Chordata, Aves, Charadriiformes, Laridae. The record is from RefSeq and is a predicted model, not a curated record. The transcript has 3 exons.
GUCCAGAGGGAGGAGUGGGUGUCCCAGCACCUCUGGGGUUGUGGGUGGCCUCUGGUGAGACAGAACAAGAGCUGAGGGAGCCAAUGACCCAGCAAGACCAGCCUGGGUGGCCCAGGUGCCCUCCUGCUGCUGUUCGUAUUUCAGCAUGACACGAAAAGGGGGAAAGAUUGAACACGUUAAUACUGAAGUUUUGGGUUCCAGCAUUCAUCUGCAGAAGGAGGGAGGCUGAAGGGAGCCCAUGACAGCGGAAUAAUUGAGGCCGUUCACUUUCACACAGGAAAAAACAGAACCCACCAAUACUUGCGAAACCAUUGUGAGAAAAUCAAACAAUAUUCAUACAGAUGCAGGUAAGUGUUUUCACAGGUUGCACUCACGUAGGACUGCUCAUUCUCCUCUUCAUCCCUGGCAAGAAGAUCAGCUCAGAGUAAAGAGAUGUCCUUGUUCUGCAACCCUGGGCUUGUUCACGGAACGGUUUUGGCAUGAUGUGAGACUUAAGGAUCAGGUCUCUGCUUUAUUUCGUGCUUGUUACUGGCUCCUGACCCAGGCCCUCCCCUCUGCGCUCUCAUGUGCUUGGAGACACGUUGGGUGCUCAUUUCUUCUAGCAGCUCUUGGGUUUUGACAGUUUUUCCUUCUGUCAUCACCUCUGAAUUACAACUAUCAGCCCACUGUUCAACACAAAUCAAGUGCUCC